GUGUACGGCCAUGAUGCCCUGAACAAGCCCGAUCCCGUCCGAUCUCGGAAGCUAAGCAAAGUCGGGCCUGGUUAGUACUUGGAUAGGAGACCACCUAGGAAGACUGGGUGCUGUAGGCA
Molecule: ribosomal RNA, 119 nt
Filed under: Pteropus alecto (black flying fox)
Lineage: Eukaryota; Metazoa; Chordata; Mammalia; Chiroptera; Pteropodidae
Source: RNAcentral